UCCUCUGAAAAAGGAAAAUAAUGUGACCAAAUAAUUUAUCAUCCAUCCAAGAACAUUUUUGAGUACUCUUAAAAAUUACACCAGAACCACAGGAAUAAACCACAGCUGCUCUGGAAGGGUCCUGGGCAAGCUGGACCUAAGAGCACCCCAGAAAUGAAAGUCUUUGUUUCUUUUUAAAAAAUUGUUGACAUCACUGAACAGAGCUCAGUGUGCAGCCCACUGUAUCAAGUCCUAGACCAGCCAACGAAAGCUGCGUUGAACCUAUCCUGCAGCAGAAACACUGGUGAAGAAGCCUGGAGAAACAGAGGCCUGCAGUACCCAGUAACUAACCAGGCUGCACGAAUGGAGCAUGAGAACACCCUACAGCCUGUUAUUUGCUGCAUGUUUCUACGGGCACCAGCAAAGCACAACUUCUAGUAAUGGGAUCAGUAACCCAAGUGACGGAACUGAAAAGGCAAGUCUGAAUUUAUCUCCAUCUGUCAUGUUCCAGUGAACAAUGAAAGCACAGUAAAGGGAAACGCUGCUUCUUGCAUGUUUGUGCCAGUCCUUCCCUGCUAGGUACUAUUAUUAGCAGCAUUAAUAAAUGCCUCUGACUUGCAGUAAAGGUUCAGAAUGCUGGAGAGUUACAGGGCAUGCCAAACACAUAAACUGCCUGCCCUCAGGGCUGAUGGGCACGAAGGCUAUAAGAUGAAGCCCAAAUGGCAGAAACAUUCUGACCAGGGAGGAGUGAUUGCAGGUGAGGUAGGGAGAUUUUUUUUCCAGGGCUGUGCUGGAAAUGAAAGAGACAAGCCUUCGCGCCCACUAUUUGGCUGCUCAUCCUAUUCUAUUCUUGGGAAAUCAUUGGAGAGAUGAGAGAAGACAAGUGACAGUCCACUUUGAAUGUCACCUCUACCAUCCUGGAGCCUUGGGAGAAAGCUAAAGAUGUGUCCAGCCUUAUGGCUAAAUAAGGUUAAGCUGGGACAGAGACUGCUCAUUGUUCUCCAGAGGCUAUACUCUAACUUUUAGAAACACAGCUCUGAGUUAGCAGGGAACUCUUAAGACAUGGGACUCCCCAGGGGUGAGCUAGAGACACCCACCCGGGACUCUGUGGCCGUAGGUGUGGUCA
Molecule: long non-coding RNA, 1105 nt
Filed under: Homo sapiens (human)
Lineage: Eukaryota; Metazoa; Chordata; Mammalia; Primates; Hominidae
Description: HSALNT0369881
Source: RNAcentral